AUGUGUAUACUGUGCGCCGUGCAACGGUGGUCGCGGCGCGUCGCCACCAUGCUGCCGUGGCUCGUCCUCCCGCUCAUCCUCCUCUGGGCGCUCUCCCAGCUCCUGCCCGCCGCCUACCGCUUCGAGGUCACCUCCCCGCGCCUCGCCUGCGUCUCCGUCCUCCUCCUCACCCUCUUCUGGUACGAGAUUCUCCUCCCGCGCCUCUCCAUCUGGCGUGCCCGCCGCUCGGCGCGCCUCCGCGAGGAGCGCCGCGCCCAUGCGCUCGAGCUUCAGAAGCUCCGCAAGACCGCCACACGCCGUUGCCGCAACUGCAACAAUCCCUACAGGGACCAGAACCCUGGCGGCGGCAAGUUCAUGUGCUCAUACUGUGGCCACGUAUCCAAGCGGCCCGUGCUUGACCUUGGCCCUGCGGGGAAGGUCCCCGCUGGGUGGCCUUGCAGUCAGGAUUGGGCCAAUGCUGUUGGUGACCCGGGUUACUGGCUUGACCUGCAGUGUUCCGCCGAUAACUCGUACUCAGGCUUCUCAUGGCGGCUGUUCUCGUGCUUUUGCACCAGUAUGGCAUGGUUCUGGAAGAAAGUGUUCAGGUUUGGGUCAUCAGUGGACAGCGGUGGAUUGGGCCGGGAUGGCAGAAUGUUGACAAAAGCAGGGGACAAUGGAGGCAAGGCUGAGGAGAGCAGAGUGGACAAGGCGAAAAGGAAGGCUGAGGAGAAGAGGUUGGCGAGGUUGGAGAGGGAAAUGCUAGAGGAGGAGGAAAGGAAGCAGCGAGAAGAGAUGGCAAAGCUAGUAGAGGAGCGGAGAAGGCUGAGGGAUGAGAAAGCAGAGGCUGAGGAGCGAUCCAAAGGUGCUACCCCCGUCGGGGAGAAGGAUGCUAGGAAGGAAGCAGAACGGAGGCGGCAGGAGAGGAGGAGGAAGGAAGACAAGGGAUCAAGCAAGAGCAAUUCAGACUGCGAAGAUGUUGAGAGAAGAGUAAGCAGAGAAGGUGAGAGGAAGCGCGACUUUGAUAGAAGGAAUGAGACAGACAGGCGGGAUGCGGCAAGAGUUGGGACAGAUGGAUACAAGCCCAAUAACUUUGAAUCUAACAGUCAGGGUAGUAAGAUAGCACAGAGCAAGACGAAGUACUUUGGUCGUAUGACUGGAGGUUUAUUAUCUUCUUCCAGAGGUUUUGGUGGUGGCUCCUUUUUUGGUAGAAGUGCUCAGGCCCCUGUUCAUCAAGCUAACAAGGUGACUAAACCGCUCAUUGCUGCAACUGACCAGAGUAUUAAAAGAGAUACCCAACCUGCAGCCACACCAGCAAUGGUCAAAUCUGCCACAGCCGGAGAAACUAGAAAUUCAUUGACUAAUUUUAGUCGACCUGUUAGUCCAAAUAUGCAGGCACAUCCUACAGGCCUUAAAAAGUCAUGGCAUCAGUUGUUUAGUCGCUCAGCUGCAGUUUCCCCUUGUCCCGAUGUUACUGCUUCAGCUCGUGAGAAGAACAUGCAGCCUGCCCCAAAUGGGUUUCCGCCAGUGAAUGGAGCAUCUGCCAAUAUGCCGCUAUCUCAUUUUCCAGCGGGACACUCGCCCUUCGGUAAAGUUUCAGAAGCAGCAUUACUGGAAGAACCUGAGCAAUUUGAGGACCCGUGCUAUGAUCCAGAUGCCAUUGCAUUGCUUGGUCCAGUUUCAGAGUCCCUAGACAACUUCCCUCCAGACUGGGAUAGCAGAUUCACCUUGAAUGAUGUCACCAAGCAACCACAUGUUAGGAACCCCAUGCCUUCACCAAUUGAGUCUCCUCUAUCAAGAUCACGGACUGUUGAACGAAAUCCUAUUAGACCCUCACAUUUCUCAACUGCAAAAGGGCAUAAUGGUUCAAUGUCAGCUGAGGCUAACAAUGAGCAAGGCACAUGGCAAAUGUGGAGCACGCCGCUGGUACAGGACAGUUUAGGUCUGCGAGGUCCUCAGGGACAAUGGCUUCUACCAAACACAAAUCAAUUCAACCAUGGCAUCAAUCAUUUGAAUGGUGGAACAAGAAGCCCCCUCAGUGCUGGUCUGAAUGACAAUGAUUUAUGGCUGCAGAAAUCACCCUUCCAGCAAUUGCCUCUUGAUACAGAUAGUCUGUUCCUUUCACACGACAUGUCAGAAAAUGCUAUACACAGUGACUUGGGUUUUGGAUCUCCAAACAAAACAGCCCGUGCGCACCCCUUUGGACCACCUGAUCCUUGUCAUUCUUGGUCCAAGGAGCAGCUGGUGCCGAAUGGACCCCAGGGAGCUAGUCCAGUCCGCUUGCCGCCAACUGGAGGGCAUGCCGGUUUAUUUCCAACAAAUCCAAAUGCACAAUCAGUGUGGUCGUUUGAUAAGAAAAGGGACAGCAUAGAAGUUAUGGGUGAAGCAAGGCUCCCUCCUUCCAGCUUAGGGAGUUGA
RNAcentral lists this ribosomal RNA (2394 nucleotides) under Triticum aestivum (bread wheat). Its description in RNAcentral is "partial small subunit ribosomal RNA". The record is from RNAcentral. Lineage: Eukaryota; Viridiplantae; Streptophyta; Magnoliopsida; Poales; Poaceae.